UUUUGAGAAUUAGUUCUCUUUUCCUUAAAGAUUUGUUUCUUGUGUGCCUUAUUGUUUCUUGUACUACAUCAGUGCUUGAUUUCAAUAUUAUUGCUACCACACGAGUGAAGAGUUGAUUGUUCUCCUAAUACAGUUUCUAAUUUUUUUGCAUUUCAAGACUCGAGGACAAGUUUUUUCUAACUAGGAGAGAAUAAUGCAGAAUAGGAAGAUGAUAUCACUAAUACAAUUUAAGAGUUAUAUUUCAUGUAAACUUAGGAAAUUUAGAGUUUUAUUUUUUAAGAAUUUUAUUCUUAUUAGAUCUAUCAUUUAGAAAUUUUAUUAUUUUAGAUCUAUUAUUUUCUAAUUUAUCUUA
RNAcentral lists this unclassified non-coding RNA (352 nucleotides) under Hevea brasiliensis (rubber tree). Lineage: Eukaryota; Viridiplantae; Streptophyta; Magnoliopsida; Malpighiales; Euphorbiaceae. The record is from RNAcentral.